GAUGAACGCUAGCGAUAGGCUUAACACAUGCAAGUCGAGGGGCAGCAUGGUCUUAGCUUGCUAAGACUGAUGGCGACCGGCGCACGGGUGCGUAACGCGUAUGCAACUUGCCUCACAGAGGGGGAUAACCCGUCGAAAGACGGACUAAUACCGCGUACACUCCAUCUUGGGCUUCCAAGGUAGAGGAAAUGAAAUUCGCUGUGAGAUAGGCAUGCGUCCCAUUAGCUAGUUGGUGAGGUAACGGCUCACCAAGGCGACGAUGGGUAGGGGAACUGAGAGGUUGAACCCCCACACUGGUACUGAGACACGGACCAGACUACUACGGGAGGCAGCAGUGAGGAAUAUUGGUCAAUGGGCGAGAGCCUGAACCAGCCAAGUCGCGUGAAGGAUGACUGUCUUAUGGAUUGUAAACUUCUUUUAUACGGGAAUAACAAGAGUCACGUGUGACUCCCUGCAUGUACCGUAUGAAUAAGCAUCGGCUAACUCCGUG
Molecule: ribosomal RNA, 490 nt
Filed under: uncultured bacterium
Lineage: Bacteria
Description: partial 16S ribosomal RNA
Rfam family: Bacterial small subunit ribosomal RNA
Source: RNAcentral